GACGAACGCUGGCGGCGUGCUUAACACAUGCAAGUCGAACGGAAAGGCCCUGCUUUUGUGGGGUGCUCGAGUGGCGAACGGGUGAGUAACACGUGAGUAACCUGCCCUUGACUUUGGGAUAACUUCAGGAAACUGGGGCUAAUACCGGAUAGGAGCUCCUGCUGCAUGGUGGGGGUUGGAAAGUUUCGGCGGUUGGGGAUGGACUCGCGGCUUAUCAGCUUGUUGGUGGGGUAGUGGCUUACCAAGGCUUUCACGGGUAGCCGGCCUGAGAGGGUGACCGGCCACAUUGGGACUGAGAUACGGCCCAGACUCCUACGGGAGGCAGCAGUGGGGAAUAUUGCACAAUGGGCGGAAGCCUGAUGCAGCAACGCCGCGUGCGGGAGGACGGCCUUCGGGUGGUAAACCGCUUUCGCCUGUGACGAAGCGUGAGUGACGGUAAUGGGUAAAGAAGCACUGGCUAACUACGU
Molecule: ribosomal RNA, 467 nt
Filed under: uncultured bacterium
Lineage: Bacteria
Description: partial 16S ribosomal RNA
Rfam family: Bacterial small subunit ribosomal RNA
Source: RNAcentral